UGUCUUCCUAUCUAUCAUUUUUUCUAGCAUGACCUUGAAAAUGUGCAGCUCAGCUCGAGGUCUGGGGAAUGUCAAGAGGAGAGGGCCCCAUGGCAAAAUGCCCCACUAUGCUCUGAAUCCACUACCACUAUGCCAAAGACACACUUCACCACACAUGGAGGAAGCGCUCUGUGAUUAUGCCAUAGAUGUCCUUUCUCAGGCUGUGUCCGUGCCACAGAAUCACACAGAGGGGAUGACUGUGCUCACUGCUGCCAUUGGUACGCACCUUCUCCCAGGUACUCGCGGGAAGAAUCUGCUUUGCAUGAAAUCUUUAAGUAGAGGGGGCGCCUGGGUGGCUCAUUCGGUUAAGUGUCUGCCUUCAGUUCAGGUCCUGAUCCCGGGUCCUGGGAUGGAGUCCCCAUCGGGCUUCCUACUCAGCAGGGAGCCUGCUUCUCCCUCCACCUACUGCUCCUCCUGCUUGUGCUUUCUCUCUCUCUCUCUCUCUCUGAUAAAGAAAUAAAAUCUUUAAAAAAAAUCUAUAACUAGAGAGUCAAUGUAAAACGGAGUCUAAGUCCUGGUCUCUGCAUCUGAUGUGUCCUCAGCUCUAACAUACCCUUGUCCCAGAUUUCCAUGUGUCUCUCCUUUGCUUCCUUCAGAGCUCUGAUUAAAUACUGUCAGAGCCCUUCCUGGUCACACUGCACAAAUACCAACUCUUUUCUGGCUACUUUCUCUUAUCCUUAGCCUGCUUCAGUCCUCAUGACACCAGUCAGCCACACCCGACAUCUCUUCAUUUUUCUCUCUCUCUCUCUCCGUCAUUGUUUCCACUAGAAAAACGCAGGGAGUUUGCCUAAAUUGUUUGCUGUUACAUUGACAGCAUUUAGGUCAGGAGGCCUAGCAGGUUAUCAGCAGGUGCACAAUAUGUAUUUACUGAAUGAAUGAAUGAAUGAAUGGUCGAUUCUUAAUUAGCAUAAUGCCAACUCUCUGAAAGCCAGCCAGCAGCCAAACACAAUGCAUGAAUCCUUGCAAAUCAAAGUUUUAGUUAAAGGAAAUCACCCUCCUCCUGUCCUUUCAUAAGGAAACGCCCCAGUUACCUAAUUUCACAAACUGGAAAUAGAGUGGUGAUGACAGCCAGAGUGCCUCGCAGGCCAGGGCAGGCCCGGCACAGGCUGGCUGUGAGGCGGUGUGGGGCCCCAGGCACCGGGCGGGCGGGUCUGAAGUCUUCCAGAGUCACCUCAGGCUGGGUACAAAAGCCCUUGGGCAAAACCCCAGGAGGUGUGUGGGGGGUAUCUUUAUGAAGCUUCCGCAUUACUGGAUGAAUCAAAGAAUUAGUAGGCAAACAGGAUGGAAAGUGAGAGGCAGGAAGAUUAGGAAGUGCUCCCUCAGGCCAAACGCUAAGCUCUGUGUUGGUUUGCACAGUAGGAGAAGCAUGUCUGGGUGGGAACAGUUGCCUAGGGACUUCCUAGCUUUGAAAUGUGGGCAAGUCCAAUCUUGCUGCGUUGUUCUCAUCUCAAAGGCAGGAUAAAGAAAGGAGAUCAUCUGUGUAACGUCCCAUGGUAAGUACUUGGCCAGUGUGAGCUGUCUGGGGCAGGCACACCAGAUGGAUCCGACGUUAUUGGACAAGUCAUGCCAUCCAAACACGGUGCACCUGUGUGUCCCUCACCGCACUCUCUCCAUGACCAUCCGCUCUAAACAACCCAGUGGUUAACUUGGUCAUUCCCAUUCUUCUCUGGUGUUUGUAUUCCCACUAACUUUUAUUCAGUCGUUCACAAUGGGCCAGAAAACCGAACACCAACAUGGCAAAGAAGGAUUGCUCAACUUUGGACAAUUCUUCUUUCAUUUAUUAAUUGAGUAAACUACAGUUGUGAUCUGAAAUAUAGGGAUUUCAUAGUUUUACUCUUAGAGAACCUGUUCAAAGGUAGUAGGAAAUCCAUGUGUUUUUUCUCUUUUUAUUCUUUUUAAAAAUUAUCAUUUAUUUGUUUAUUUUAAAGAUUUUGUUUUUAUUUUUUUUGACAGACAGAGAUCACAAGUAGGCAGAGAGGCAGGCAGAGAAAGAGAGAGAGGGAGAAGCAGGCUCCCCGCUGAGCAGAGAGCCCAGAAGAGGGCUCGAUCCCAGGGCCCUGGGAUCAUGACCUGAGCCGAAGGCAGAGGCUUUAACCCACUGAGCCACCCAGCUGUCCCUCUCUUUUUAUUCUUAAUCUCUUUAUUCAAAAUCAGAAGACCACAAUAAAAUUAACUAGAUGUUUUUCCUUACCUCAUAAUUCAAAGCUAUUUUUAUUGCGAUUUAGAAAGGCAAACUGCCAAGGGACAGUUCCCUUCAUUGAAAUAUCCUACAGUCCUCAACACUUAGAACCAGACUCGUGAAGAAAACUGCUUUUCGUUUCACCAACAUUUUAUGAUUUCUUUAUGCUGUGCUAAUCACUGUAACAUAUUUAUCUAUAGGUAAGACUUUAGCCAAGAAUCGGAAAAUAAAUCUAUAAAUGCUUCUGUGUUAUCUAAAAUUACAAGCACUAAAGCUAGCACAAUUAUAUUUUGAAUCAGAAGACUAUGGACCAAGAGCCAGAGCAUACUGAUCCUAUUAGCAAUUCUAACAAUGGUUUGAAUUACCAAACCCUAUUUCCUUUGAAGCACUCAGAAAUGGGGAAGACUCCAAGGCCUAGAAAACAACAUCGUAAGGUAAGAAAAAAUGUGCAGGAACAAAACCUUCUCUAUUACUGCAGAGAAUAGGAAAUAAUCACAGUUGGCCCUAAAUCUAUUAUUAAAUCAAACAAUGCCUUUUAGAGAUACCUUGUAAGUCAAAACUCACUUUGAUGGGUCAGGUGUCAAUUACCUUGACUAUUCACUUAAAUACAAAAUCUUUUUCCAAAUAAAGACAUGUAAAUGAAACAGUAUUUGUUUGUUUCAUGCUAUUCUUUAAUUAUUUAUAUACAGAAUUACACUUGUGAUUAUGUUCCAUGUGUACGUUUUAACUCAAUCAAAGGAAAGAUCCUUGAGAGUGAUAAUAAAAGUCUUUUUUUUUUGCAAUGUUUUCAGGUUUCUGAACACAACUUUACUCGUAAAACAAGGAUUUUGUUGUUGGUGCUGGUGUUUUUCUUUAUAAAACAAAUUGUAUCAUAACUUCGGUGUAGUUAAAGAUAAUGUCAUUUAUCCACAGACAUUAAGUCAAUAUUAAAACUUUCUAAUAUUGCUUAAUAUAUCUAUUGCCUUACAAAAUCUCUUUACCCCAUAUAGACCGCUAAUGUUGUCCUUAAUGUAUUCUAGCUAAACUGCCUCUAUGCACAUAAAUAACUACCUUGUCCUUGUUCAUGAGGAUGCGCAAACAGAACCUAGAGGAAUUCAUGCUACCAGUUUUUAAUAUUUCACAGGAAAUAAUUUUGUUAACAGUCUUUGAUUAAAUAGGACUUUGCUAUAAAAUUUUGGACCUUUGACUGAAAAUAUGUCUGAGAAGAUCAUAACAACUGAUAGUGCUUGAAAACAAUGAUAAAAAGUGCUCAGAAGUUUUUUUCAACUUUUUACUUUGGUGUGAUCUCAGACUUACAAGAAAGUUGCAAGAAUAUUAAAAAGAAUUUCCAUAUACUUUUUAUCUAGAUUCCCUAAGUGUCAACAUUUGUCACCUUUGCUUUGCUUUAUUGCUCAUUCUUUUGCUUUCUAAUAUGUUGUACCCCACAAAGUAUAAUUUUCUCUCUCUGCAUAUACUUGUUCUUCAGUUUUUGAAACUAAGUGGCAAAAUGAUGCCCUGUUAUUCUCAAAUGUUUCAGUAAAUAUUUCCUAAGUACAAAGACAUCCUCCUACUAAUUAAGAUAACUAUUAUCAAAAUGAGAACAUUAACAUUGAUAUUAUGAUCUAAUCUAUGGACAUUAUUCACAUUUUGGCCCAUUAUCCCAAUAAAAUCUUUUAUAGCAAAUGAAAAUUCUGGAUCACACACCGUCCUCGGUUAUUAUGUCCUUCUGGUCUGCUUUCAUCUGGAACAUUCCUCAGUUUUUCUUUGUUUUCAUAACCUUGAUAACUUUGAAG
RNAcentral lists this long non-coding RNA (3990 nucleotides) under Mustela putorius furo (domestic ferret). Its description in RNAcentral is "lncRNA (ENSMPUG00000026273.1)". Lineage: Eukaryota; Metazoa; Chordata; Mammalia; Carnivora; Mustelidae. The record is from RNAcentral.